Symphalangus syndactylus (siamang) is the source of this 158-nucleotide long non-coding RNA. RefSeq lists it as uncharacterized. The record is from RefSeq and is a predicted model, not a curated record. Lineage: Eukaryota; Metazoa; Chordata; Mammalia; Primates; Hylobatidae.
UGACUGGACCCAUGCGUUCUGAGUAAACAAGAGAGCCCCUUCUGGCUUCUCCGGGAGGAACCAAAUGGCUUCAGCAUUCAGCUCCAGAGCCCGAUGGAGACCAAGAGUGAUACACUGUACUCAUGAUCAACUGCUCAGUUCUGGUUUGGGCCUCUGAG